GCCGCUGAGGAGCGUUGCGACCGGGGCGGCCCGGCCAGGCUCAGCGAAAACACAACGGCGCUCGCAUCGG
RNAcentral lists this non-coding RNA (70 nucleotides) under Betaproteobacteria bacterium. RNAcentral's name for it is "SAH sequence". It matches the Rfam family "SAH (S-adenosyl-L-homocysteine) riboswitch aptamer". Lineage: Bacteria; Pseudomonadati; Pseudomonadota; Betaproteobacteria. The record is from RNAcentral.